GUUGUACUCCCUCCGUCCGGAAAUACUUGUCAUCAAAAUGAAUAAAAGGGAAUGUAUGUAGAUGUAUUUUAGUUCUAGAUACAUCCCUUUUUAUCCAUUUUGAUGACAAGUAUUUUCGGACGGAGUGAGUAAUUC
Triticum aestivum (bread wheat) is the source of this 135-nucleotide non-coding RNA. Lineage: Eukaryota; Viridiplantae; Streptophyta; Magnoliopsida; Poales; Poaceae. The record is from Rfam.